GCUUGAUAACGAUGACGGUGCUGAAGAUUGACGGGUUACUUUCUAAAACAAUGAUAUAAUAGAUGAUGUUUAAGUACCAUUCAUUUAUAUUUCGGCCGGAUUGACUGCAGAAGUUUUAAAGCUGUGUUUGGAGAUUGUUUCGCUUAUUGAGCUGUUUGGUUUCCUUUUACAGCGAAAGACCGUGAGCUGUUCAGUUUUCAUGGAGCUACUUGUGGCCAUUUCCUGUGUUUAAUAUAAGCACCUCAGAGAGUACAGCAAUUCUGGAAUAUGAUUUAGUAAGAAACCCAAUGUUUUUCUGUCUUCUGGCUUUUUCAGGUGUAUACUACUCUGGUGCCUCGUGUAUAUAUACUUUUGGGCUCAUUGGAAGCCGGGGAAACAAACCGCUUUCAGGACCUAGUACAUUCUUUCAAUCCUUCUCUUUGGUGGUUACUCAUCUGCAUUUUGGUUAGUGCAACAGUUUCUUUUGUGGUGGAUCCAUACAUGUACCAGAGAUGGAACAGUUUUUAGUUGCUUGAUCUAAUAUUUUUCCUCAGAGCUUGUGUCGUUUAGCACUCUGGAUUGUGGGGACUACCGAUCCAAGUGAAGAUUAUACCUACACUUUGCAAAAUGGACUGAACUUGCGACUAUAAUUAUUUGUAUUCAAAAGACAAUGCCAAGAGUCCAGGUGGAGGAGAUUAACUGAAACGGAACUCCUAGAAUGUGCUCAGAUGGGAAAGAGAGAAAGAAAGAGAAAGCCUUCACAGGGCCACAGGAAAUGGGGCUCAACUUCUCAUGCUGAUAAGGCAACUUAGCAGAUGCUGCUGCAGGGCCACAAGCUUCUCUCCGCUGCCAGGAUCUGCUCACUGACAUCCACGCGAACACGAGUUCAAUUCAGAUACAUCAGAAAACAACUGAAGCAGAAUCAAACAAAGGCAACCUUUCUUCUCUGGGGUCUUUCUCAAAUUCUUCCAGCUUCGGAGCUUGAGCGCUUAAGAGAAUUUUAGAAUUAGGGUUCCCUGUCUGUUAUGGAGAAAUCAAUUAAAACCCUGAUUUUUAGGGUUUCAGGGUUCGCUCGCCUGCUAGUAACCCAAUAAGAAGGAGUCUGCCCCAUUUAGCAUGAUCCCCAAGUUUAUGUUUUCCAUGUGGACUUUAAUCAACCAAGGCAUCAUGGCCUCAACAUUAUCAUUAUAGGGGGAGUAAAGGUACUAGUCUUGGAUUUUGUAUUGAGGAGAUUUUGAAUUGAAAAAUGAAACCCAUUUUUUAAUACACGUGUACUCUAAAUAAUUUUGUGUGAAAAAGGCUGCCCAAUUUGUAGA
Physcomitrium patens is the source of this 1295-nucleotide non-coding RNA. The record is from RefSeq and is a predicted model, not a curated record. Lineage: Eukaryota; Viridiplantae; Streptophyta; Bryopsida; Funariales; Funariaceae.